UAUUGGACAAUGGGCGCAAGCGUGAUCCAGCCAUACCGCGUGGGUGAAGAAGGCGUUCGGGUUGUAAAGCCCUUUUGUUGGGAAAGAAAUCCAGCCGGUUAAUACCUGGUUGGGAUGACGGUACCCAAAGAAUAAGCACCGGCUAAAUUCGUGCCAGCAGACGCGGUAAUACGAAGGGUGCGAGCGUUACUAGGAAUUACUGGGCGUAAAGCGUGCGUAGGUGGUUAUUUAAGUGCGUUGUGAAAGCCCUGGGCUCUACCUGGGAAAUGCAGUGGAUAGAGGAUGACUAGAAUGUGGUAGAGGGUAGCGGAAUUCUUGGUGUAGCAGUGAAAUGCGUAGAGAUCAGGAGGAACAUCCAUGGCGAAGGCAGAUACCUGGACCAACAUUGACACUGAGGCGCGAAAGCGUGGGGAGCGAACAGGAUUAGAUACCCUGGU
RNAcentral lists this ribosomal RNA (437 nucleotides) under uncultured bacterium. Its description in RNAcentral is "bacterial SSU rRNA". It matches the Rfam family "Bacterial small subunit ribosomal RNA", at positions 362 to 791 of the family's 1533-position model. The record is from RNAcentral.